This is a non-coding RNA of Pristionchus pacificus, 61 nucleotides long. The record is from Rfam. Lineage: Eukaryota; Metazoa; Nematoda; Chromadorea; Rhabditida; Neodiplogasteridae.
UCUUCAUUUCCCACGCUCUCUCACCGGUCAGAGAGGCGAGAGAGUGUGCGACAUGAAGAGA